AGCAGCAGCCGCGGUAAUACGUAGGUGGCAAGCGUUGUCCGGAAUUAUUGGGCGUAAAGGGCUCGCAGGCGGUUUCUUAAGUCUGAUGUGAAAGCCCCCGGCUCAACCGGGGAGGGUCAUUGGAAACUGGGAAACUUGAGUGCAGAAGAGGAGAGUGGAAUUCCACGUGUAGCGGUGAAAUGCGUAGAGAUGUGGAGGAACACCAGUGGCGAAGGCGACUCUCUGGUCUGUAACUGACGCUGAGGAGCGAAAGCGUGGGGAGCGAACAGGAUUAGAUACCCGUGUAGUCCCUGUCUCUUAUAA
RNAcentral lists this ribosomal RNA (303 nucleotides) under uncultured bacterium. Its description in RNAcentral is "partial 16S ribosomal RNA". It matches the Rfam family "Bacterial small subunit ribosomal RNA", at positions 507 to 809 of the family's 1533-position model. The record is from RNAcentral.